GGGGGGGGCAAGCGUUGUUCGGAAUUACUGGGCGUAAGGGCUCGUAGGCGGCCAACUAAGUCCGACGUGAAAUCCCCAGGCUUAACCUGGGAACUGCGUCGGAUACUGGAUGGCUUGAAUUCGGGAGAGGGAUGCAGAAUUCCAGGUGUAGCGGUGAAAUGCGUAGAUAUCUGGAGGAAUACCGGUGGCGAAGGCGGCAUCCUGGACCGACAUUGACGCUGAGUGAGCGAAAGCUAGGGGAGCAAACGGGAUUAGAUACCCCGGUAGUCCUAGCCCUAAACGAUGAAUGCUUGGUGUGGCGGGUAUCGAUCCCUGCCGUGCCGAAGCUAACGCAUUAAGCAUUCCGCCUGGGGAGUACGGUCGCAAGGCUG
RNAcentral lists this ribosomal RNA (371 nucleotides) under uncultured organism. RNAcentral's name for it is "bacterial SSU rRNA". It matches the Rfam family "Bacterial small subunit ribosomal RNA", at positions 527 to 896 of the family's 1533-position model. The record is from RNAcentral.